GUUGCAGUGAGCUGAGAUCUCGCCAUUACACUCCAGCCUGGGUGACAGAGUGAGACUCUGUCCCCCCCGCCCCAAAAAAAAAAACGGGAAGGAGAGACAGCCUCAGCUAGAGCCCUUUCCUUCUGACACAUGAAUGUCCUUCUCUCCAGGGAUUUGGACAUUUGGUGCCAUCUUCAGAAGAUCCAGGCGUCCUGGGAAUCGUGUAUGACUCAGUUGCUUUCCCUGAGCAGGACGGGAGCCCCCCUGGCCUCAGAGUGACUGUGAGGAGGAGGAAACUUUGCCUAGUGGCAUUUCCAGAGGGCUCCUCUGUGCUCCAAUGUAGGCAAGGCCAGACUGAUCAGUGCUAUAUUCCCUCCUUAGGUGAUGCUGGGAGGUUCCUGGUUACAGACACUGGAGGCUAGCGGCUGUGUCUUAUCUCAGGAGCUGUUUCAACAGCGGGCCCAGGAAGCAGCUGCUACACAAUUAGGACUGAAGGAGAUGCCGAGCCACUGCUUGGUCCAUCUACACAAGAACUGCAUUCCCCAGUAUACACUAGGUCACUGGCAAAAACUAGGUAAGUUGGGAAAACAGCUGGGCUGAGGAGGGCCAAGGACAUCAGACCCCCAGCUAAAACAUUCCUUUUAUCCUUUCCUUCCAGAGUCAGCUAGGCAAUUCCUGACUGCUCACAGGUUGCCCCUGACUCUGGCUGGAGCCUCCUAUGAGGGAGUUGCUGUUAAUGACUGUAUAGAGAGUGGGCGCCAGGCAGCAGUCAGUGUCCUGGGCACAGAACCUAACAGCUGAUCCCC
RNAcentral lists this small RNA (785 nucleotides) under Pan troglodytes (chimpanzee). RNAcentral describes it as "retained intron". Lineage: Eukaryota; Metazoa; Chordata; Mammalia; Primates; Hominidae. The record is from RNAcentral.